This 253-nucleotide ribosomal RNA is filed under the name uncultured bacterium. RNAcentral's name for it is "partial 16S ribosomal RNA". It matches the Rfam family "Bacterial small subunit ribosomal RNA", at positions 524 to 776 of the family's 1533-position model. The record is from RNAcentral.
UACAGAGGUGGCAAGCGUUGUUCGGAAUUACUGGGCGUAAAGGGCGCGUAGGCGGCCUUCUAAGUCAGACGUGAAAUCCCCCGGCUUAACCUGGGAACUGCGUCUGAUACUGGAGGGCUUGAGUGCGGGAGAGGGAUGUGGAAUUCCAGGUGUAGCGGUGAAAUGCGUAGAUAUCUGGAGGAACACCGGUGGCGAAGGCGGCAUCCUGGACCGACACUGACGCUGAGGCGCGAAGGCUAGGGUAGCAAACGGG